UUCUGCUUCUUCCACUUGGUCCUGCGGUUCUGGAACCAAAUUUUGACCUGCGUCUCCGUGAGGCUGAGCGACAGCGCCAGGUUCAGGCGCUCGCACACCGACAGGUAGCGCGUGGCUCGAAACUUGUUCUCUAGGGCCACCAGCUGCUCGGCAGCGAGACGCACCGGCGGGAGGGCAGCUCGCGUGAAUUUUUGCGGAUCCAAGAUGUCCAAGACAGAGAAGGAGAUCUUGUGGUGAGAGGGGGCCGCCUUGGCCCCGACGUCCUGCCAUGCCAACAUGCCCGCCUCCCGCGGGCCCGAGGCCAGCCGCACUGGGGUCGGGGCUAGAUGCGCUCAGCCUUAUCUUCUGCAGUGGUUUGGCCACAGCUCUCCAGCCACGAACUGGAAUU
This 388-nucleotide long non-coding RNA is filed under the name Mus caroli (Ryukyu mouse). RNAcentral's name for it is "predicted gene, 16764 (MGP_CAROLIEiJ_G0004086.1)". Lineage: Eukaryota; Metazoa; Chordata; Mammalia; Rodentia; Muridae. The record is from RNAcentral.